This is a long non-coding RNA of Cyprinus carpio (common carp), 1453 nucleotides long. The record is from Ensembl. NCBI's taxonomy places the organism in Eukaryota, Metazoa, Chordata, Actinopteri, Cypriniformes, Cyprinidae.
GUUUUUAAACCAGUAAAUAGAAUGAUUAUUUAUAUGUUUACUACAUUUGGUUGCACAGCCUUUGGCCAAAAUAUUCAUGUUCAAGAACAUCUUGUAGUAAGUUAACGUUAAUGUGCUUUCAGUAUUUCUCUAACGUUACUGUCUGUUAAUAGGAAACACCGGACCUACCGGACCCUUUCUGGUUGGUUGUAGGCUAUAGAGGCACCUGUCAGGUAGGACUGGGCUAACGUUAUAUGAAAGAAAUUAAUAUCACAAGAAUCAUAAAGACAUAUCACAUUAUCUGCUCACCUCUAUUAAAUCACUUAACCUAUCAAUAACCUAAUCUGCAAUUUUCAGAUUAUAUUCCUUUGGAUAUUUCAAAUCAAAUUUAGAAAGAAAUGUGUUUAAUAUGUGCUUGAUAUUAUCAAUUUAGACAACAGAAUUGUGUAUCACAAUAUAUUCAAAAUGGGUCUUAAAUUUCAUUUUGAGUGGCAAUAAAGUCUUAAAUAUAACUUGCCUAACCCUGCAGAUACCUAAUAUUAGAAGUGUUUUUUGUCAGAAUACUGAUGUUAAAUGUUAGCUUAAUAACAGUUUCUGUCUGCCAGUCAUUUAUUGAUUGCUAAGCCAAACAAUGAUUUUUAUUUAUUUGAUAAUUUUAGAACACAUGGAGAGGAAGUUUGCAGUGGUGCGGUGGAGUGAAGGGGAGGAUUUUGGGAAGCUCAGUGACAUAAAAACUGAUGCCAUAAGGGGGUAUGAUGAUUCCAAGAUGGACCAGGAUGGGAAUNGCCACCUACUCAGCCGUAAUUGAAUGGCGCCAUGGGAGGAAACAAUGAGGAGGCUGGCCUCACUACAGAGGCACUGUCAUUUUUGUUGGUGCUACUCGUUUUGAGACAAUCCGUAAACUGAACUCACUGCUGAAGGAAGAAGAACCUACAGAGCUGACAAAGAGGGCCUCAGUGGCCCCCCAAAAAUAUGGGGACGAUUCAGAUUGCUAAACUGAUAUUGAAACUCAGUCUCAGCAAGCAAAGAAGUCAAAGGCUCCCAGGAGGAUAGACCCUGCAGAAGAGUUUCUUAGGCUAUACGGUCAAUCACAGCCUUCUUCAGAUAAUCACAACAGUCCGACUCAGACUGUGGCUGAAUUAAAGCAGGAGAUCAAGGACCUGAAAGAAGAGAACGCGAAGUUGAAGGAGAUUGUUCUUCAAGAUGUGCCAGGACUCCUACUGAGUUUGAGGAAUAUAAUAGAUUCGGCUGCACCUCCUAAGAGAUCCAGGGUGGAGCCUACCAAAGCAUUACCGGCCCUUCCAGGGUCUCCGCAGUCCAGGUCCAGUUCUCCAUGUGCCACUUCGCUGUCCCUCCCCAGAUCUACGCUGUCCAGUUCCACAUCUGUGUCUCCAUCCCUGACUGCCUCCCAGUCUUCUAAGGUAAUUGUUUUUUAAAGAAUAAAUAAAUACAGCAUAUAAAAUAGAUCUACUGC